GACAGAGGUGCCAAGCGUUAGGCGGAAUCACUGGGCUUAAAGCGUGUGUAGGCGGGUCGUUAAGUCCCUUGUGAAAUCCCCCGGCUCAACCGGGGAACGGCUGGGUAUACUGGCGAUCUUGAGCCACCUAGGGGCAGUCGGAACAAGUGGUGGAGCGGUGAAAUGCGUAGAUAUCACUUGGAACGCCAAUGGUGAAAACAGACUGCUGGGGGUGUGCUGACGCUGAGACACGAAAGCCAGGGGAGCAAACGGG
This 253-nucleotide ribosomal RNA is filed under the name uncultured bacterium. RNAcentral's name for it is "partial 16S ribosomal RNA". It matches the Rfam family "Bacterial small subunit ribosomal RNA", at positions 524 to 776 of the family's 1533-position model. The record is from RNAcentral.